RNAcentral lists this ribosomal RNA (2933 nucleotides) under Enterobacter kobei. RNAcentral's name for it is "bacterial LSU rRNA". It matches the Rfam family "Bacterial large subunit ribosomal RNA". The record is from RNAcentral. Lineage: Bacteria; Pseudomonadati; Pseudomonadota; Gammaproteobacteria; Enterobacterales; Enterobacteriaceae.
GGGUUGUGAGGUUAAGCGACUAAGCGUACACGGUGGAUGCCCUGGCAGUCAGAGGCGAUGAAGGACGUGCUAAUCUGCGAAAAGCGCCGGCGAGGUGAUAUGAACCUUUGACCCGGCGAUGUCCGAAUGGGGAAACCCAGUGUGAUUCGUCACACUAUCGUUAACUGAAUACAUAGGUUAACGAGGCGAACCGGGGGAACUGAAACAUCUAAGUACCCCGAGGAAAAGAAAUCAACCGAGAUUCCCCCAGUAGCGGCGAGCGAACGGGGAGCAGCCCGGAGUCUGAAUCAGCUUGUGUGUUAGUGGAACGGUCUGGAAAGUCCGACGGUACAGGGUGAUAGUCCCGUACACGAAAAUGCACAGGUUGUGAACUCGAAGAGUAGGGCGGGACACGUGGUAUCCUGUCUGAAUAUGGGGGGACCAUCCUCCAAGGCUAAAUACUCCUGACUGACCGAUAGUGAACCAGUACCGUGAGGGAAAGGCGAAAAGAACCCCGGCGAGGGGAGUGAAAAAGAACCUGAAACCGUGUACGUACAAGCAGUGGGAGCCUACUUGUUAGGUGACUGCGUACCUUUUGUAUAAUGGGUCAGCGACUUAUAUUCUGUAGCAAGGUUAACCGAAUAGGGGAGCCGAAGGGAAACCGAGUCUUAACUGGGCGUUAAGUUGCAGGGUAUAGACCCGAAACCCGGUGAUCUAGCCAUGGGCAGGUUGAAGGUUGGGUAACACUAACUGGAGGACCGAACCGACUAAUGUUGAAAAAUUAGCGGAUGACCUGUGGCUGGGGGUGAAAGGCCAAUCAAACCGGGAGAUAGCUGGUUCUCCCCGAAAGCUAUUUAGGUAGCGCCUCGUGAACUCAUCUUCGGGGGUAGAGCACUGUUUCGGCUAGGGGGCCAUCCCGGCUUACCAACCCGAUGCAAACUACGAAUACCGAAGAAUGUUAUCACGGGAGACACACGGCGGGUGCUAACGUCCGUCGUGAAGAGGGAAACAACCCAGACCGCCAGCUAAGGUCCCAAAGUCAUGGUUAAGUGGGAAACGAUGUGGGAAGGCACAGACAGCCAGGAUGUUGGCUUAGAAGCAGCCAUCAUUUAAAGAAAGCGUAAUAGCUCACUGGUCGAGUCGGCCUGCGCGGAAGAUGUAACGGGGCUAAACCAUGCACCGAAGCUGCGGCAGCGACGCUUAUGCGUUGUUGGGUAGGGGAGCGUUCUGUAAGCCGUUGAAGGUGGCCUGUGAGGGUUGCUGGAGGUAUCAGAAGUGCGAAUGCUGACAUAAGUAACGAUAAAGCGGGUGAAAAGCCCGCUCGCCGGAAGACCAAGGGUUCCUGUCCAACGUUAAUCGGGGCAGGGUGAGUCGACCCCUAAGGCGAGGCCGAAAGGCGUAGUCGAUGGGAAACAGGUUAAUAUUCCUGUACUUGGUGUUACUGCGAAGGGGGGACGGAGAAGGCUAUGUUAGCCGGGCGACGGUUGUCCCGGUUUAAGCAUGUAGGCGGAGGUUCCAGGUAAAUCCGGUACCUUUUUAACGCUGAGGUGUGAUGACGAGGCACUACGGUGCUGAAGUAACAAAUGCCCUGCUUCCAGGAAAAGCCUCUAAGCAUCAGGUAACACGAAAUCGUACCCCAAACCGACACAGGUGGUCAGGUAGAGAAUACCAAGGCGCUUGAGAGAACUCGGGUGAAGGAACUAGGCAAAAUGGUGCCGUAACUUCGGGAGAAGGCACGCUGAUAUGUAGGUGAAGCCCCUGCGGGUGGAGCUGAAAUCAGUCGAAGAUACCAGCUGGCUGCAACUGUUUAUUAAAAACACAGCACUGUGCAAACACGAAAGUGGACGUAUACGGUGUGACGCCUGCCCGGUGCCGGAAGGUUAAUUGAUGGGGUUAGCGGUAACGCGAAGCUCUUGAUCGAAGCCCCGGUAAACGGCGGCCGUAACUAUAACGGUCCUAAGGUAGCGAAAUUCCUUGUCGGGUAAGUUCCGACCUGCACGAAUGGCGUAAUGAUGGCCAGGCUGUCUCCACCCGAGACUCAGUGAAAUUGAACUCGCUGUGAAGAUGCAGUGUACCCGCGGCAAGACGGAAAGACCCCGUGAACCUUUACUAUAGCUUGACACUGAACACUGGUCCUUGAUGUGUAGGAUAGGUGGGAGGCUUUGAAGCGUGGACGCCAGUCUGCGUGGAGCCGACCUUGAAAUACCACCCUUUAAUGGCUGGUGUUCUAACGUAGACCCGUAAUCCGGGUUGCGGACAGUGUCUGGUGGGUAGUUUGACUGGGGCGGUCUCCUCCCAAAGAGUAACGGAGGAGCACGAAGGUUAGCUAAUCCUGGUCGGACAUCAGGAGGUUAGUGCAAUGGCAUAAGCUAGCUUGACUGCGAGAGUGACGGCUCGAGCAGGUGCGAAAGCAGGUCAUAGUGAUCCGGUGGUUCUGAAUGGAAGGGCCAUCGCUCAACGGAUAAAAGGUACUCCGGGGAUAACAGGCUGAUACCGCCCAAGAGUUCAUAUCGACGGCGGUGUUUGGCACCUCGAUGUCGGCUCAUCACAUCCUGGGGCUGAAGUAGGUCCCAAGGGUAUGGCUGUUCGCCAUUUAAAGUGGUACGCGAGCUGGGUUUAGAACGUCGUGAGACAGUUCGGUCCCUAUCUGCCGUGGGCGCUGGAGAAUUGAGGGGGGCUGCUCCUAGUACGAGAGGACCGGAGUGGACGCAUCACUGGUGUUCGGGUUGUCAUGCCAAUGGCACUGCCCGGUAGCUAAAUGCGGAAGAGAUAAGUGCUGAAAGCAUCUAAGCACGAAACUUGCCCCGAGAUGAGUUCUCCCUGAGACUAUAAGUCUCCUGAAGGAACGUUGAAGACGACGACGUUGAUAGGUCGGGUGUGUAAGCGCAGCGAUGCGUUGAGCUAACCGAUACUAAUGAACCGUGAGGCUUAACCUUACAACGCCGAAGGUGUUU